RNAcentral lists this ribosomal RNA (237 nucleotides) under uncultured Lactobacillus sp. Its description in RNAcentral is "partial 16S ribosomal RNA". It matches the Rfam family "Bacterial small subunit ribosomal RNA", at positions 128 to 354 of the family's 1533-position model. Lineage: Bacteria; Bacillati; Bacillota; Bacilli; Lactobacillales; Lactobacillaceae. The record is from RNAcentral.
GCCCCACUAGUCUGGGAGUACCACUUGGAAACAGGUGCUAAUACCGGAUAAGAAAGCGGAUCGCAUGAUCAGCUUUUAAAAGGCGGCGUAAGCUGUCGCUAUGGGAUGGCCCCGCGGUGCAUUAGCUAGUUGGUAAGGUAAAGGCUUACCAAGGCGAUGAUGCAUAGCCGAGUUGAGAGACUGAUCGGCCACAUUGGGACUGAGACACGGCCCAAACUCCUACGGGAGGCAGCAGGG